Non-coding RNA from Schistosoma margrebowiei, 46 nucleotides. The record is from Rfam. NCBI's taxonomy places the organism in Eukaryota, Metazoa, Platyhelminthes, Trematoda, Strigeidida, Schistosomatidae.
GCACUGCUGAGGAGUCCCACAAUAGGACGAAAAGGCUGUCCAGUGC